UACGGAGGGAGCUAGCGUUAUUCGGAAUUACUGGGCGUAAAGCGCACGUAGGCGGCUUUGCAAGUUAGAGGUGAAAGCCCGGGGCUCAACUCCGGAAUUGCCUUUAAAACUGCAUCGCUAGAAUUGUGGAGAGGUAAGUGGAAUUCCGAGUGUAGAGGUGAAAUUCGUAGAUAUUCGGAAGAACACCAGUGGCGAAGGCGACUUACUGGACACAUAUUGACGCUGAGGUGCGAAAGCGUGGGGAGCAAACAGG
This 253-nucleotide ribosomal RNA is filed under the name uncultured bacterium. RNAcentral describes it as "partial 16S ribosomal RNA". It matches the Rfam family "Bacterial small subunit ribosomal RNA", at positions 524 to 776 of the family's 1533-position model. The record is from RNAcentral.